CGUGAAAUUGUUGAAAGGGAAACGAUUGAAGUCAGUCGUACCGACGAGAAAUCAACUUAUCGUGUGCGAACUUGUGGGCGUGCGUGAGUUUCGGCCUCGCUGUUUGCAUGUUUGUGCGUUUUGGGUGUACUUUUUCGUAUGGUAGGCCAACAUCAGUUUCGAUCACCAUAAAAUGACCGGCGGAAUGUAGCUUCGAUCUCGGUUGAAGUGUUAUAGCAUCUGGAAGAUGUGAUGAUUGGGACUGAGGA
This 248-nucleotide ribosomal RNA is filed under the name Glomus sp. Its description in RNAcentral is "partial large subunit ribosomal RNA". The record is from RNAcentral. Lineage: Eukaryota; Fungi; Glomeromycota; Glomeromycetes; Glomerales; Glomeraceae.